CUUUGGACUCACGUAGGCAUAGGAGAACGAAACUUCUGUACAUUUUAAUCUGAAUAAUUCUUCAGGAUUUAAAAUUAAUUGGCUCUGGCUUGGUUGGACCGUACUCGGAUCUCGCCACCUCUGCGUUUCCCGAGUCACUGGCGAAGAGGUCCCAGUUCCUCUGGGAAUCGUCCUGUAUGCAACAUCUUCACAAGAGUGGCAGGCAGUUGAAUCUCUGGCCUUCGUGGGACCACUGGACAUCUGGCAGAGAACCAGGAAACCACGGUUCCCUUCUGUGAGUCCCUCAGCCGGAAAACUACAAGCUCCUCAUGCAGCUGCUGUCUACAGACCCCCUGGACUGCCUGGGGAAGUGAGUCGGAGCUCCUGCAGCAGAGGGGUGGAACAGCUACACGAAGAUCCGAAGGUGGCCAAAAAUAACAGCGCUUUCCAGAUGAGGGAGCCAGUUGUCCAGCACAGUGUCAUGGGACAGUGGGCCCUGGUGCCACAAUGCCCGGCAUCUCCACCAGAUACAGCUUUGAGAUCUUCAUGAUGAAGCUUGCUCCAAUCCAAGGGCUGUCAGGUGGGGUUUGCGGUUCAGCUGCUAACCUUUCUUUGGUAAGCAUUUACUAUAUUCCAUCAUUGCUGAAAUUACUUUUAAUCUUGAUUUGGGCCUUUAGUCUCCUAAUAGCACCCACUUGGGACAUUCUUUGUUUCUGUUUUGUUUUGUUUUGAGAUGGAGUCUUGCUCUGUUGCCCCAGUUGGAGUGCAGUGGUGCAUUCUCAGCUUAUUGCAACCUCUGCCUUCCGGGUUCAAGCGAUUCUUGUGCCUCAGCCUCCUGAGUAGCUGGGAUUACAGGCUUGUGCCAUGACACUGAGCUAAUUUUUGUAUUUUUAGUGGAAAAAUUUUGUAUUUUUCUACUAAAUUUUUCUACAAAAAAUUCUUGUAUUAUUCUACUGAAUUCUAAAAAUUUUGUAUUUUUUCUACUAAAAAUAUAAACAUUUUUAGUCAUGUUGGCCAAGCUGGUCUCAAACUCCUGGCCUCAAGCGGAUGCCUGCCUUGGCCUCCCAACAUGCUGGGAUGACAGGCAUGAGCCACUGUGCCUGGCCAGGGGACAUUCAUUUUUAAUUCCCAUGUAGGCUGGGUCUCUUUUAUCCUCUUAGUAUAAAGUGAUAUAUGUCCACUUUAGAAAAUUUAGAACACAGAGACAAGCAAAAAUAAGAAAACAAAUACUGUAGACAGAAACAUUGUUAACAACUUGAUGUGGGCCUUUCUCAUCUUUUUUCUUUCUAAUUAUGGUUUUUAUAUCC
Molecule: long non-coding RNA, 1286 nt
Filed under: Homo sapiens (human)
Lineage: Eukaryota; Metazoa; Chordata; Mammalia; Primates; Hominidae
Description: HSALNT0225386
Source: RNAcentral